GAAGAACGCUGGCGGCGUGCCUAAUACAUGCAAGUCGAGCGAACGGACGAGAAGCUUGCUUCUCUGAUGUUAGCGGCGGACGGGUGAGUAACACGUGGAUAACCUACCUAUAAGACUGGGAUAACUUCGGGAAACCGGAGCUAAUACCGGAUGAUAUUUUGAACCGCAUGGUUCAAAAGUGAAAGACGGUCUUGCUGUCACUUAUAGAUGGAUCCGCGCUGCAUUAGCUAGUUGGUAAGGUAACGGCUUACCAAGGCAACGAUGCAUAGCCGACCUGAGAGGGUGAUCGGCCACACUGGAACUGAGACACGGUCCAGACUCCUACGGGAGGCAGCAGUAGGGAAUCUUCCGCAAUGGGCGAAAGCCUGACGGAGCAACGCCGCGUGAGUGAUGAAGGUCUUCGGAUCGUAAAACUCUGUUAUUAGGGAAGAACAUAUGUGUAAGUAACUGUGCACAUCUUGACGGUACCUAAUCAGAAAGCCACGGCUAACUACGUG
Molecule: ribosomal RNA, 497 nt
Filed under: uncultured bacterium
Lineage: Bacteria
Description: partial 16S ribosomal RNA
Rfam family: Bacterial small subunit ribosomal RNA
Source: RNAcentral